UGAAUUAUUGAUAUUGGAAUCUCUUUUGGCUUAAACUUCCUUUCAGUUUCCAGGGGUGUUAACAGUCCUUUCGAUUUUGAUCCUCUCAUGACUAUGUUCAGCCUUAACCUACCAUUAUUUGAUGUCAUUGGGACAUUUAAAAGUUUGUGAAGUACCCUUGUCGGACUAAUGUGAAUGGUUAUUAUGAUAUGAGAUGUGUUUCUAGUGCCUUUACUGUUGCACGUGCCAAGUGGAUGGUUGUUAUUGAAAGAAUACUGGAAGAAACUUUAUACCACUGUCUUACUCAAAAUAUUAACAAAAGACUCUACUUAUAGUAGUAUCAUACUUGUGUUUGUUGCACAAAAUUAGCACCAUUGACUAAUGAAUAAAAAGAUCUCUAAAAUUUCUCAACAAAUUAUACCCACAAUCACAUGCUUAUGGAACUAACUCAAAAUAAAUAAAUAAAAAAUCAUUAACAAAUAAAGAUUUGGUCAGUCCAUAGUUGAAUUAACUCCAACACUAAGGGGAUGUCCAAUAUCAUAUCCGUUUAUUUUGCCUAUUGAAUUAUCUAUGCAUGAUAUGCUGGGAUGAAAACUUUUUACUUUAAUAUUUGAUUGAUAUGUGCCCUUGUAUUCUUUUGGGAAUAAAUGGACAAAAUUUUGCUGUGGAGCAGCCCUCCUGUUCUUGAAUGCUCUUCCAUAUGACAUGAUGCGAACUUAUUCAAUGUUUCUUACUGAUAAGUUCUCUUUGAUUCUAUAUUUAAGAAAUUUAUUUGCUUGAGAGUGGGUGUAAGUCGCCUUUUUAAGCCAUUGAGUGAGACAUCUUUGGUUAUUAUUGUUUAUGAGCUGUCGCACCCAUGAAACAGACAUAGAAGGCCUUGAUAGAAUGCAGCAUAUUAGAUAAAGGAAAAGGAAUAGGUUUUUGUUUGUUUUGGAAAGUAUUGAAUUUGUUGGUACAGAACAUCUUUCUCCCUUUCCUGUACAAAUGGCAGUGACAGGAGCUUCUAGAAGUGUUUCCAAUGUUAUUUAAAGAACUGACAAUGAUUUAUGUCUCAUAACAAAGGACAAAAUCUGGUGGCAUUUUUUUAUCCAUCAAAGGUCCAAUUAGAUAUCUGUGACACACUGAAAAGUAGCGAUAUGUCUUUAAAUUCUUGUCACAAUAAGCAAUCCUUUGCCUUAAAUAUCCCUUGAGGAUAUUAUAAUACACCACUGUAGCACUGUGAAGUGGUUAUCAUUUAUGAAGUUACAAUGAUGGAAUACUCCAACUUCUAUCAAGAACCUCUACUCAUACUCUGCCCCCCCUAACUACUUGAUCCAAGCCUGGUACAAUGUGUAUAUCUUUUUGAUAUCAUAUCUACCAAUGUUAAUCUUUUUUCACCCCUUUUUUCCUCCACUAAUUAAUCAUAUAACUAGUUACUAAAUGGAACAAGAAAUUAUAGGCUUCAAGAUUGUUUAUAUCAUUAUGUUGAGAUGGAGAUGAUUCAUUAUGUGCCAACAAAGCUAUUGUGGUUCUGUGGUCGUAUUGAUGAGCACUAGUGGAUAUUAUUACUUAUUAGAUUGUCUUCCCUUGAGUGAUAGUGGCAACCAAUUGCGAUUAUUCCUUUUCAGCGCUUGUUUAGCAAUUGGUCUAUAAACAACUUAUUUGAGAGGUGAUUAUAUGUUUUGCUCUAGUCCAGGGGUCCGGCCCUUUUUGCUUUGCCUGUUUUCAAUGUUUUAAGAGUUAUAUUUGUGGAUUUGCAGUUUGCACUGUUUUUUGAAGCUUUUCAACUAAAUUCUGACAUAAAACUUAGUGAUUACGCAUUUCUUCCUGAUGGACUCAUGGUCUAUGUAAAUUUGCAGCUUACUUAUUCAUGAGAACAAAGAAAAAAGAUACAGACCUAGAGGAAGAAGUAUCGACCAAUGUCUCCUCCUCUCCAGUUUCGUCCACCCCUACCACAACUACAACAGUUUCUGAGAAGCCCAUUUCAUUGCCCACAGUUUCAGAACCUGUGAAGCCGCACGAACCUAUCCCAGAGAACCAACAGCGUGAACUGUACAAGUGGAUUUUGGAAGAGAAAAGAAAGGUCAAAGCAAAAGAUCCACAAGAGAAGAAGCGCAUCGAUGAAGAGAAAGCUAUUCUUAAACAGUUCAUUCGAGCAAAAUCCAUCCCAAGAAUUUAGUUGAUUAUGCUCUUAUUUCAACCUGAGAUCAGCUGAAUUUUCUUUGAUCAGUUAAGAAGUUUGAAUUCUGCAAUUAUUGAAUUUCAAUGCAUAUACUGUCUUCUCCUAAUUGUUUGAUUCUCGGUUGAGAUCUUUAGAAUUUGUGAUUGCUGUUGCUUUGUUUUAGAUAUAAGGGUGAUGUUUUUGUCGUCUGGAAGAUUCUUAUUGACCAUAAACUUGCUGAUUGUAUUUGGCUUUGUAUGUUUCACUGCAGACUGCAAUAUGAGGAGUACCUGACUGACCUAUGGGCCAGCAGUUGAAUACCACUCUGAUCUGCAAUUUUAGUUUUCCAAAUGUUUUCUACACAAUUAAAACAACCAUCUACACAAGUUCUUGUUUCUCUCUCUACCUUUAUCAUCUUUUCAACUAAUGUUUGGAGUUUUCUUGCUAAUGCUCCUUCACAUUCUAUCUGAUGAUGGGUCUUAAAAAAC
This 2607-nucleotide unclassified non-coding RNA is filed under the name Hevea brasiliensis (rubber tree). The record is from RNAcentral. Lineage: Eukaryota; Viridiplantae; Streptophyta; Magnoliopsida; Malpighiales; Euphorbiaceae.